AUGCUUGCUUUGGCAGCACAUAUACUAAAAUUGGAAGGAUACAGAGAAGAUUAGCAUGGCCCCUGC
Small nuclear RNA from Mus spicilegus (steppe mouse), 66 nucleotides. The record is from Ensembl. NCBI's taxonomy places the organism in Eukaryota, Metazoa, Chordata, Mammalia, Rodentia, Muridae.